GAUGAACGCUGGCGGCGUGCCUAAUACAUGCAAGUCGAGCGAACGGACGAGAAGCUUGCUUCUCUGAUGUUAGCGGCGGACGGGUGAGUAACACGUGGAUAACCUACCUAUAAGACUGGGAUAACUUCGGGAAACCGGAGCUAAUACCGGAUAAUAUUUUGAACCGCAUGGUUCAAAAGUGAAAGACGGUCUUGCUGUCACUUAUAGAUGGAUCCGCGCUGCAUUAGCUAGUUGGUAAGGUAACGGCUUACCAAGGCAACGAUGCAUAGCCGACCUGAGAGGGUGAUCGGCCACACUGGAACUGAGACACGGUCCAGACUCCUACGGGAGGCAGCAGUAGGGAAUCUUCCGCAAUGGGCGAAAGCCUGACGGAGCAACGCCGCGUGAGUGAUGAAGGUCUUCGGAUCGUAAAACUCUGUUAUUAGGGAAGAACAUAUGUGUAAGUAACUGUGCACAUCUUGACGGUACCUAAUCAGAAAGCCACGGCUAACUACGUGCCAGCAGCCGCGGUAAUACGUAGGUGGCAAGCGUUAUCCGGAAUUAUUGGGCGUAAAGCGCGCGUAGGCGGUUUUUUAGUCUGAUGUGAAAGCCCACGGCUCAACCGUGGAGGGUCAUUGGAAACUGGAAAACUUGAGUGCAGAAGAGGAAAGUGGAAUUCCAUGUGUAGCGGUGAAAUGCGCAGAGAUAUGGAGGAACACCAGUGGCGAAGGCGACUUUCUGGUCUGUAACUGACGCUGAUGUGCGAAAGCGUGGGGAUCAAACAGGAUUAGAUACCCUGGUAGUCCACGCCGUAAACGAUGAGUGCUAAGUGUUAGGGGGUUUCCGCCCCUUAGUGCUGCAGCUAACGCAUUAAGCACUCCGCCUGGGGAGUACGACCGCAAGGUUGAAACUCAAAGGAAUUGACGGGGACCCGCACAAGCGGUGGAGCAUGUGGUUUAAUUCGAAGCAACGCGAAGAACCUUACCAAAUCUUGACAUCCUUUGACAACUCUAGAGAUAGAGCUUUCCCCUUCGGGGGACAAAGUGACAGGCGGUGCAUGGUUGUCGUCAGCUCGUGUCGUGAGAUGUUGGGUUAAGUCCCGCAACGAGCGCAACCCUUAAGCUUAGUUGCCAUCAUUAAGUUGGGCACUCUAAGUUGACUGCCGGUGACAAACCGGAGGAAGGUGGGGAUGACGUCAAAUCAUCAUGCCCCUUAUGAUUUGGGCUACACACGUGCUACAAUGGACAAUACAAAGGGCAGCGAAACCGUGAGGUCAAGCAAAUCCCAUAAAGUUGUUCUCAGUUCGGAUUGUAGUCUGCAACUCGACUAUAUGAAGCUGGAAUCGCUAGUAAUCGUAGAUCAGCAUGCUACGGUGAAUACGUUCCCGGGUCU
This 1371-nucleotide ribosomal RNA is filed under the name uncultured bacterium. Its description in RNAcentral is "bacterial SSU rRNA". It matches the Rfam family "Bacterial small subunit ribosomal RNA", at positions 28 to 1381 of the family's 1533-position model. The record is from RNAcentral.